UUUUGGAAGUUGCGGGUUUUCCAACAAUGAAUCCACCUAACAAAAAGUUUGUUGUUAUAAAAAAUCUCCUUCAAGGUCAUUAAAGGUUUUUGGGACGGCAAUAUUUGAUGGUGGAACCAUUUUUUUGCUCGAGUGCUAUGAAGUUUUUUUUAUAGUGUGAGGUUGAUGUUGAUAGAAUAAUGAGUUUUAUAGAGACUUUCUUGAUGUAAAACUAUAUUUUUUUUUGUUUAAUGUGGUAUUUUCAUUUUUACAUAAUUUACUACCAUUUUAAGAUAGAUGUCCAUUUUAUUUAAUGUACUCUUUCCAUUUUUUUGAAAACUGUGCAUUUACUUAUUAUUGUAUAUAUAAUUCAUAUAUUUAUAUAUUUAUAAUAUUUACUUAUUAUUUAUUUUUCUAUAUAUUUUGUAUUUCUCUUUCUUAUAUUUUAUAUUUUUUUAAUAUCUAUAUUUUAUAUUUUAAGAUAUAUGUUUAAAUUUUAAUGUAUUUUUCCAUUUUUAAUGUAAAACGGCAAUGUUUAAUAGAAGAACUGGACAAAUUGUCAAAUAGUUAUAUUUAUGUUUUUUUCUUUUUUUAUAAAAUGGUAAUGUUACAUUAUGGAGAUAAACCGUUUUUUUUUGUGAAAAAUGGUAAUCUUACAUAUGUUUAAUGUUGUUUUUCCAUUUUUUAUGUUGUAUGUUUACAUAUUAUUUUUAAAAAUGUAAAAUAGUAAUCUUACAUAUGUUUAAUGUAGUAUUUCCAUUUUUAUGUUGUAUGUUUACAUAUAUUUAUUAUUUUCGAAAUUAUAUAUAAUGUUUUUUGAAUUUUUUUAUAAAACGGUAAUGUUACAUUAUGGAGAUAAGCCGUCUUUUUUUCAAGUGAAAAAGGGUAAUCUUACAUAUGUUUAAUGUAGUUUUUUCAUUUUUUAUGCUGUAUGUUUAAAUAUUAUUUAUAAUUUUCGAAAAUUAGUAAUAUUAAAAUGUAAAACUAUAUUUUAUGCCACGUGUCAUCUUUCGGAAGAAGUUUUUUUUGCUUAUGUGGACGCUCUAUGGAGCCUCAAGAUUAUAUAGCAAAUUACAUGAGUUCAUGGGUGUAUCUACGCCAAUUACUCUAUAUUUAAUGUAGUAUUUUCAUUUUUUAUGUUGUAUGUUUACAUAUUAUUUAUUAUUUUCGAAAUUAUAUAUAAUGUUUUUUUUUACAAAAUAGUAAUGUUACAUUAUGUAGAUAAACCGUCUUUUUUAGUGAAAAAUGGUAAUCUUACAUAUGUUUAAUGUUGUUUUCCAUUUUUUAUGUUGUAUGUUUACAUAUUAUUUUUUAAAAUAAAAAUGUAAAAUAGUAAUCUUACAUAUGUUUAAUGUAGUAUUUCCAUUUUUAUGUUGUAUGUUUACAUAUAUUUAUUAUUUUCGAAAUUAUAUAUAAUGUUUUUUGACUUUUUUUAUAAAACGGUAAUGUUACAUUAUGGAGAUAAGCCGUCUUUUUUCGGAAGAAGUUUUUUUUGCUUAUGUGGAUGCUCUAUGGAGCCUCAAGGUUAUAUAGCAAAUUACAUGAGUUUAUGGGUGUAUCUACGCCAAUUACUCUAUAUUUAAUGUAGUAUUUCUAUUUUUUAUGUUGUAUGUUUACAUAUAUUUAUUAUUUUCGAAAUUAUAUAUAAUGUUUUUUGUUUUUUUUAUAAAACGGUAGUAUUACAUUAUGGAAUUAAGCCGUCUUUCCAUUUUUUUUUAAAUUGUGCAUUUACUUAUUAUUGUAUAUAUAAUUCGUAUAUUUAUAUAUUUAUAAUAUUUACUUAUUAUUUAUGUUUUUAUAUAUUGAGUAUUUCUCUUUCUUAUACUUUAUAUUUAGUUAAUGUCUAUAUUUUAUAUUUUAAGAUAGAUGUUUAAAUCUUUACGUAUUUUUCCAUUUUUAAUGUAAAAUGGCAAUGUUUAAUAGAAGAACUUGAACAAAUAGUCAAACAUAUUUAUGUUUAAUGUAGUAUUUCCAUUUUU
This 1958-nucleotide long non-coding RNA is filed under the name Brassica rapa (field mustard). Its description in RNAcentral is "long non-coding RNA (BRAP_LNC007941)". The record is from RNAcentral. Lineage: Eukaryota; Viridiplantae; Streptophyta; Magnoliopsida; Brassicales; Brassicaceae.